Manacus vitellinus (golden-collared manakin) is the source of this 323-nucleotide long non-coding RNA. RefSeq lists it as uncharacterized. Lineage: Eukaryota; Metazoa; Chordata; Aves; Passeriformes; Pipridae. The record is from RefSeq and is a predicted model, not a curated record. The transcript is spliced from 3 exons.
GUGUGGCUUUAGGACCCAGCGGAUCCCCCAUGUUGGAGGUAGGAGGUUUUUUUUGGGUUUUUUGUGGUUUUUUUUAACUCUCAUUUCCAGAGUUUUUGGAAAGCAGAGAGAAGAGACCGAGGCGGUGGGAAAGGGCAGAGCCGUCACCAACUGAUGUGGAGUUGCAAAAACAUCUGGCGCGGUUGGAGCCGCCGGACCCCUGCACGGAGUGUUGGGAAAGAGGGAAUCUCGGGUCCCAUCCUGGAAAAGGCAAAGACUCCUCCGGCUGCUCCUCCGUCAUUCCAGCAGGAUGAGAGGGACGGGGCUCUUCGUGCUGUGCCUGC